GGAACAUCCGCGCCCGGACUCUACCUAGCCACGGGUCCCACGCGCCCCCACUCCUCUCCCCUUCAAACCGUCUCUCCCACAACGCGAGGAUCCGGCAACCAUGCACGCAGCCAUGGAGGCAGCCGGCCUCGGUCUCCGAUCCCCGGUGUGGCGUGGCCAGCCAGCGCGGCCCACCAGCACAGACUUCCACCGGCGAGCCUUCUUCUCU
This 208-nucleotide long non-coding RNA is filed under the name Zea mays. Its description in RNAcentral is "long non-coding RNA NONZMAT000301". Lineage: Eukaryota; Viridiplantae; Streptophyta; Magnoliopsida; Poales; Poaceae. The record is from RNAcentral.